RNAcentral lists this long non-coding RNA (1701 nucleotides) under Homo sapiens (human). RNAcentral describes it as "long independently transcribed non-coding RNA 1530 (LINC01530)". Lineage: Eukaryota; Metazoa; Chordata; Mammalia; Primates; Hominidae. The record is from RNAcentral.
AAUAGCCGUGCCAGAAUUCUCUGCCAGCUGCUGUGCACUGCUGUCAGUGCAAAGAUGGGAUGGACUUUUUUUUCAGAUUUUCUGCUGUUGUGGGAGUAUGGCAAGAGUUUGAGGGGGCGGAGAAAGAGAUUGGGAAUGUGAAAAGGGAAGAUAGCACCUGCGCUAAGCACAUUCCUAGGAUUGGGCCGCGUCUCGGGGAUGCAGAGUGGGCUCUUCGGCGCGCCCUGCAGCCAUGGGAGUGGACGCCUGCCCAGGCCGAAGGGCAAGGACUUGCGGGGUGGGGUCUCUGUGCAUGCGCGGAGCUGAAAGGGAGCGUUUUGCAGAUCUCCACGCGUGCGCAACUCUCGGGACGUGGACGCGGUGAACAGUUACGCACAAUCGUCUUUCUGACACAAACACACCCUGCCAGGUGGAAGCCAGGAUGGAGGGCAGGCCUCGCCUUCUGUCCCGGAUCCGCCAAUCCUCCGAUCCCUGGAUCCUCUGAUGAUGGCAUCAACUGUCUGGGCUACAGGUUGCUCUCCAAAGAGUGGCUGCCCCUCUACACCAACCUCACUGUGGACAUAACUUCCAAGCCUCAGGAGACCCAGUGCAAAGCUGAGGGGUAUCUUAUCUGGAAGCCAGAAAGAGCCCCUGAGGCCAAGGUCACAGGGAAGCCCUCCCACUCACCCCACCUGGUUUCUUUUAAAAGUAGAGUUUAUUUUAUCUCCUUUCUGCCAUCCCUAAUUCCUUCCUUCCAUCUGUCCAUCCAUCUUCUUUCCCCUCCCUCCCUUCCUCCCUUCUCCUUCUCCUCCUCCCCACACCUGCUUCUUUUCUCUUUCUUUCAACUAUGUCCAGAAGGUCCUUCUUAACAAACACUAAUUAGUACAGGGAAAGGUCUCUUUAAGUGAAUGCAUUUAAAAUAGGGAGUCCACCUUUGUGGUAAAUAGUGUGCACGAGGUGAGUCUGGAUCAGGACUUCACACUUGAUAACGGAAUUCAAUUUCUCAAAAUACCUUUAUUUCAGAUUUAAUGAAAUUCCAUGUUUGUUGAAUCAUUAAGAACGAGCAUUUGUGUUGUACUCAUGGUGGACAGCCACCAUUCUAAUGCUUGACUUUACAUAAUUAACGCAUGUAAUCUGCAAAGGAGCCACAAGGCGAGAUCUAUUAUUAUUCCCAUUGUGCUGCUGGAGAAAUUAAGGCAGAGAGGUUAAGUUGCUUGCCACCAAACUAGCGAGGGGCAGAGCUGGGAUGUGUAGCAUCCAGGUAGGUUGGCUCCAGAGCCCAUGAGCCUAACUACUACUGUGCCCAACCUUUGUGCCAAUCGCCACAACAGUCAAAGGAUGGAUCAAGUACUGGUUUUGGGGGUGGGGGCAGGGGACUCUGGGCAGUAUGUUUUCUGAUCACAUCACAUGACAGUAGGACAUUCUUCAUUUCACCAUGGCUUUCACUGCCCAACAAUAAAAAGGUCAUGGGCACUUUGGGAGGCCGAGGGGGGGGGAUCACGAGGUCAGGAGAUCGAGACCAUCCUGGCCAACACGGUGAAACCCCGUCUCUACUAAAAAUACAAAAAAUUAGCCAGGCAUGGUGGUGGGCGCCUGUAGUCCCAGCUACUCGGGAGGCUGAGGCAGGAGAAUGGCGUGAACCCGGGAGGCGGAGCUUGCAGUGAGCUGAGAUCGUGCCACUGCACUCCAGAGCCUGGGCGACAGAGCGAGACUCCAUCUCAC